Molecule: non-coding RNA, 48 nt
Filed under: Schistosoma margrebowiei
Lineage: Eukaryota; Metazoa; Platyhelminthes; Trematoda; Strigeidida; Schistosomatidae
Source: RNAcentral
AUUCAAUUGACGAGUCCGAAAUAGGAUGAAACCCACGUCAAACUGGAU